UGACUNGAGUGCAGAAGGGGAGAGUGGAAUUCCAUGUGUAGCGGUGAAAUGCGUAGAUAUAUGGAGGAACACCAGUGGCGAAAGCGGCUCUCUGGUCUGUCACUGACGCUGAGGCUCGAAAGCGUGGGUAGCGAACAGGAUUAGAUACCCUGGUAGUCCACGCCGUAAACGAUGAGUGCUAGGUGUUAGGCCCUUUCCGGGGCUUAGUGCCGGAGCUAACGCAAUAAGCACUCCGCCUGGGGAGUACGACCGCAAGGUUGAAACUCAAAGGAAUUGACGGGGGCCCGCACAAGCGGUGGAGCAUGUGGUUUAAUUCGAAGCAACGCGAAGAACCUUACCAGGUCUUGACAUCCCGAUGCUAUUCUUAGAGAUAGGAAGUUACUUCGGUACAUCGGAGACAGGUGGUGCAUGGUUGUCGUCAGCUCGUGUCGUGAGAUGUUGGGUUAAGUCCCGCAACGAGCGCAACCCUUAUUGUUAGUUGCCAUCAUUAAGUUGGGCACUCUAGCGAGACUGCCGGUAAUAAACCGGAGGAAGGUGGGGAUGACGUCAAAUCAUCAUGCCCCUUAUGACCUGGGCUACACACGUGCUACAAUGGUCGGUACAACGAGUUGCGAGCCGGUGACGGCAAGCUAAUCUCUGAAAGCCGAUCUCAGUUCGGAUUGGAGGCUGCAACUCGCCUCCAUGAAGUCGGAAUCGCUAGUAAUCGCGGAUCAGCACGCCGCGGUGAAUACGUUCCCGGGCCUUGUACACACCGCCCGUCACACCACGAGAGUUUGUAACACCCGAAGUCGNUG
This 794-nucleotide ribosomal RNA is filed under the name uncultured bacterium. Its description in RNAcentral is "bacterial SSU rRNA". It matches the Rfam family "Bacterial small subunit ribosomal RNA", at positions 638 to 1432 of the family's 1533-position model. The record is from RNAcentral.